AGUGGUGCAAUUGUAGAUGGCUGCAGCCCUCGACCUCCUGGGCUCAAGUGAUCCUCCUGCCUUAGCCUCUCGAGUAGCUGGGAGUACAGAUGCACACCACCACACCCAGCCUAGAAUGAAGAAACCUGCAGUUGGGAAGCAUGAAUUUACCACCUAUUAAGCCUACUUCAUGCUUUGAACAGAAGAGUUUUAUCAGUUUUAAAUGUUUCUUCAUUUCUAUACCUUCUUUUAUCUGAGGAGCUUAAGCCAUUUUGUAGAGGCAUUAAGUAUUGCCUCAGUCUUAAUAUGUGAGACAAGGUGUGAGGAAUAUAGAGAUUCAUAAAAUAAUCCCCAUCUUCAAGGAACUCACAGUCAGGAAGAACAGAGCCUGCAACACAAAUAAUUGCAAUAUAGUAGAAGUGCCAAUAGGAGCUCUAUGAAGGGCGUGAAACAGGAAAGGCUACAUAGAGGAGAUGGCAGACACUCUGUGGAUUGUGACCUGUUGGUGGGCCAUGAAAUCAAUUUGGGGGUUUGAGAGCAUCAUUCUUUUAAUAAAACAGAAGAGAAUCAUCUGCAAUAAGGAACCCAUGGAUGAAUACCAUCUGGUCCUGGUGAUUUACUGCACAGAGUCCCUCAAGUUGCUCCAUACCUUUCUCCUGAGAGACUGAAGAAUCUCUGUCAAGGCCGUUCUCUGCUUUGCCAUAAAAUGUGUCCUUGGAACAAGAAUUUCCCCAUUGUCUUCUUCAAUAAAUACUGAUUCAAAGUA
Molecule: long non-coding RNA, 745 nt
Filed under: Homo sapiens (human)
Lineage: Eukaryota; Metazoa; Chordata; Mammalia; Primates; Hominidae
Description: long intergenic non-protein coding RNA 466
Source: RNAcentral